CAUGCAAGUCGAACGAAGUAGCAAUACUUAGUGGCAGACGGGUGAGUAACAUGUAGGUAUCUUCCCAUUGGUGAGGAAUAACACGAGGAAACUUGUGCUAAUACCUCAUAAGUCUUUACGGAGAAAGCUUUAUGCGCCGAUGGAUGAGCCUGCACUUGAUUAGUUUGUUGGUAGGGUAAUGGCCUACCAAGACAAUGAUCAAUAGCUGAUUUGAGAGGAUGAUCAGCCACAUUGGGACUGAGACACGGCCCAAACUCCUACGGGAGGCAGCAGUAGGGAAUCUUGCACAAUGGGGGAAACCCUGAUGCAGCGAUGCCGCGUGAGUGAAGAAGGCCUUUGGGUUGUAAAGCUCUUUCGUCGGGGAAGAAAAUGACUGUACCCGAAUAAGAAGGUCCGGCUAACUUCGUGCCAGCAGCCGCGGUAAUACGAAGGGACCUAGCGUAGUUCGGAAUUACUGGGCUUAAAGAGUUCGUAGGUGGUUAAAAAAGUUGGUGGUGAAAUCCCAGAGCUUAACUCUGGAACUGCCAUCAAAACUUUUUAGCUAGAGUAUGAUAGAGGAAAGCAGAAUUUCUAGUGUAGAGGUGAAAUUCGUAGAUAUUA
Molecule: ribosomal RNA, 600 nt
Filed under: uncultured Alphaproteobacteria bacterium
Lineage: Bacteria; Pseudomonadati; Pseudomonadota; Alphaproteobacteria
Description: bacterial SSU rRNA
Rfam family: Bacterial small subunit ribosomal RNA
Source: RNAcentral